This 433-nucleotide ribosomal RNA is filed under the name uncultured bacterium. RNAcentral's name for it is "partial 16S ribosomal RNA". It matches the Rfam family "Bacterial small subunit ribosomal RNA", at positions 29 to 507 of the family's 1533-position model. The record is from RNAcentral.
AACGAACGCUGGCGGCAUGCCUAACACAUGCAAGUCGAACGAGACCUUCGGGUCUAGUGGCGCACGGGUGCGUAACGCGUGGGAACCUGCCUUUAGGUUCGGAAUAACUCAGAGAAAUUUGAGCUAAUACCGGAUGAUGUCUUCGGACCAAAGAUUUAUCGCCUUUAGAUGGGCCCGCGUUGGAUUAGCUAGUUGGUGGGGUAAAGGCCUACCAAGGCGACGAUCCAUAGCUGGUCUGAGAGGAUGAUCAGCCACACUGGGACUGAGACACGGCCCAGACUCCUACGGGAGGCAGCAGUGGGGAAUAUUGGGCAAUGGGCGAAAGCCUGAUCCAGCAAUGCCGCGUGAGUGAUGAAGGCCUUAGGGUUGUAAAGCUCUUUUACCCGAGAUGAUAAUGACAGUAGCGGGAGAAUAAGCUCCGGCUAACUCCGUG